This 393-nucleotide transfer-messenger RNA is filed under the name Balneolaceae. RNAcentral's name for it is "Balneola sp002364085 Standard tmRNA". It matches the Rfam family "transfer-messenger RNA". From Rfam's summary of the family: Bacterial tmRNA, also known as 10Sa RNA or SsrA, is named for its dual tRNA and mRNA-like properties. Its role is to liberate the mRNA from a stalled ribosome. Lineage: Bacteria; Pseudomonadati; Balneolota; Balneolia; Balneolales. The record is from RNAcentral. RNAcentral also lists the same sequence under 1 other name.
GGGGGCGUAACGGCUUCGACUAGGUAAAAGACACGAAUAGUGCAAGCAGUCUCAGGAAACAGCAGACUUUAAGUGUGGUUUCAAAAAAUAAUUGCUAAUAACAAUAAUUUCUACAACAACGCUGCAUUAGCAGCAUAGUAGGGAGGUCGCUCAAAAACCUUCUAUCCAAUUUGAGUAUUUAUCGCAACAGGGUGGUGAGCGAUAUCUUAAAGCCACCAAAUCAUAUCUGAUUCAAAGGUUAGUGCCGGCAACGGUGGGAUCAGAUUAAACUAUCCGAUUUUUUUCAGUUUCGUUGCAGGUGUUCUUUGGUGAGCAUCAAAACUGAACAAGCUUGUGAAUGACUUGAAAUAGAAUUUAUCUAGGACGCGGGUUCGACUCCCGCCGCCUCCACCA